CCCUGGUAGUCCACCCCGUAAACGUUGGGAACUAGUUGUGGGGUCCAUUCCACGGAUUCCGUGACGCAGCUAACGCAUUAAGUUCCCCGCCUGGGGAGUACGGCCGCAAGGCUAAAACUCAAAGGAAUUGACGGGGACCCGCACAAGCGGCGGAGCAUGCGGAUUAAUUCGAUGCAACGCGAAGAACCUUACCAAGGCUUGACAUAUACGAGAACGGGCUAGAAAUAGUCAACUCUUUGGACACUCGUAAACAGGUGGUGCAUGGUUGUCGUCAGCUCGUGUCGUGAGAUGUUGGGUUAAGUCCCGCAACGAGCGCAACCCUCGUUCUAUGUUGCCAGCACGUAAUGGUGGGAACUCAUGGGAUACUGCCGGGGUCAACUCGGAGGAAGGUGGGGAUGACGUCAAAUCAUCAUGCCCCUUAUGUCUUGGGCUUCACGCAUGCUACAAUGGCCGGUACAAAGGGCUGCAAUACCGCGAGGUGGAGCGAAUCCCAAAAAGCCGGUCCCAGUUCGGAUUGAGGUCUGCAACUCGACCUCAUGAAGUCGGAGUCGCUAGUAAUCGCAGAUCAGCAACGCUGCGGUGAAUACGUUCCCGGGUCUUGUACACACCGCCCGUCAAGUCAUGAAAGUCGGUAACACCUGAAGCCGGUGGCCCAACCCUUGUGGAGGGAGCCGUCGAAGGUGGGAUCGGUAAUUAGGACUAAGUCGU
Molecule: ribosomal RNA, 708 nt
Filed under: Microbacterium sp.
Lineage: Bacteria; Bacillati; Actinomycetota; Actinomycetes; Micrococcales; Microbacteriaceae
Description: bacterial SSU rRNA
Rfam family: Bacterial small subunit ribosomal RNA
Source: RNAcentral